AUUCGGACGGGCCCCGCACAAGCAGCGGAGCGUGUGGUUAAUUCGAUGUUACACGAAGACCUUACCAGGGUUUGACAUGCAAGUGGUAGGAAGCCGAAAGGUGACCGACCCUUCGGGGAGCUUGCACAGGUGCUGCAUGGCUGUCGUCAGCUCGUGUCGUGAGAUGUUCGGUUAAGUCCGCUAACGAGCGCAACCCUCGCUGUGUGUUAUAUGUGUCACACGGGACUGCCGGUCUUAAGCCGGAGGAAGGUGGGGAUGAUGUCAAGUCAGCAUGGCCUUUAUAUCCUGGGCUACACACACGCUACAAUGGCCAACACAAUAGGUUGCUAAGCCGCGAGGUGGCGCCAAUCCAUAAAGUUGGUCUCAGUUCAGAUUGUAGGCUGCAACCCGCCUGCAUGAAGAUGGAGUUGCUAGUAACCGCAGGUCAGCUAUACUGCGGUGAAUACGUUCCCGGGGCUU
RNAcentral lists this ribosomal RNA (459 nucleotides) under uncultured Leptolinea sp. RNAcentral describes it as "bacterial SSU rRNA". It matches the Rfam family "Bacterial small subunit ribosomal RNA", at positions 916 to 1381 of the family's 1533-position model. The record is from RNAcentral. Lineage: Bacteria; Bacillati; Chloroflexota; Anaerolineae; Anaerolineales; Anaerolineaceae.